This 253-nucleotide ribosomal RNA is filed under the name uncultured bacterium. RNAcentral's name for it is "partial 16S ribosomal RNA". It matches the Rfam family "Bacterial small subunit ribosomal RNA", at positions 524 to 776 of the family's 1533-position model. The record is from RNAcentral.
UACGUAGGUGGCAAGCGUUGUCCGGAUUUACUGGGCGUAAAGGGCUCGUAGGCGGCCAACUAAGUCGGAUGUGAAAUCCCCAGGCUUAACCUGGGAACUGCAUCCGAUACUGGAUGGCUUGAAUCCGGGAGAGGGAUGCGGAAUUCCAGGUGUAGCGGUGAAAUGCGUAGAUAUCUGGAGGAACACCGGUGGCGAAAGCGGCUCACUGGACCAUAACUGACGCUGAUGCACGAAAGCUAGGGGAGCAAACAGG